UUUGUAUGGUUAUUCUUGAUUUGAAGUGUUUCAUGUUUUUAUAGUGCAGGUGAGUGAGAGAAAUGAUGAUGAUGGGGUGGAUUUUGGAUAAGCUGACUAUAAAUGGUUGUUGACUAUAAAAGACAUCAUCACACUUGAUGUCGCCGUCAUCAGUCAAGGCUUCUUUCACUGCAUGGGUGCGGAUGGAAGACCAGCAGCUGGUUAAUGACUAGUUGUGAGUUGUUUACUCUUUCACGCUGUAACUCUCUCUGUAGACCCGUACCCUUAUAUUACCUGGUGGGUGUUGUUUUCCUGUGUCUGACACAGUGGGUAAUUCGAUCAUUUCGGCACCCUGAAAGCCAAAAACUGCUGCUUUCCAGCUGGGAGCCAAUAAUAACUGCAAUGGUGAUCAGCAGGACUGAUUCUGGACCAUACCAUUGCAAAUCCAAAGCUUGAAGGAGUUGUUCUCUACAGUCCUGUUAUAAAUGGAGGCUCAGACUGAACUGAUACUAUGUUCCAAUCAGUUAACUGUGUUUCUUCUGCUGGGCAUCGCUGAUGUGGUGGUUACUGCUUGUGGAAGUGCAGCAGAGAUCCUGAUAGCUUCUGCAUCACGUAUCUGACGGCUCUGGGGGAUCUUUUUGGCACUGGCUUUCUGACGUUGUGUUUUCUUCUUAUGUCACUGGUGACAUAAACAUUAAAAUGAUGAUUACAUUUUACAUCCAAUGCAUUAGAUCUGAUCUGUCACCGAUGUCUAAUGUGCUAGUUUACAUGUUUGCCAUUUCUCUCCACUGCUCAGCCAGAUGAAUGUGACAUUUCACGUAACUGUAGUCACACAACUAUCUUUGAAUGAAGAACUGCUGCUGUCUGUUUCUGUAUAUUGUUAUGUUAAAUGUCUGAUUUGCACUCAUCUUCCUGGAUCAGUAUCCUUUCUAGCAUUUUCUAACUGGUUCUAAUGAAAAUAUGAUAAUAUAUGUUUUUAUGGUUCAGCAAGGUUAAUUCAGUGAGACACUGAGAUGUGACAAGUUAUUACAAAUUACAAAUUAAGCAGCCUUAUACAAUUUACCAAUGCAUGUGGAUUUUAUUUUUUUUAUUGAUUAAUUAUUAAUCUUCAGGCUGUAUUAAGGAGAGUAAACACAAUGUCUGACACAUAUUGAUAGGAUAUUAUUUUAUUUUAUUUAUCACCUGCAGUAGUUUAUUACUUUAUUAUCUUUUACUGUAAAAAAACAACAACUCUCAAUUCAUUCACGUAUACUUCAAAAAUGUAUCAAUGGUAAUGUACGAGAAAAACUGAUUGAGGUUUGUGAAGAUUUGUACAAAUGAUUUGCACAGGAAUCUUCUGAAAGAUCCCCUGUCCUUUACAGCUAGUUAACAAUAUUUAGUAUCCACAGUUGAAUAAAUUCCUUAUUACAAAUAAUUUGUCUUUUUGAUACCUUUGCUUUUAUCAUUGAGAUAUGCAUGCUAUUAUAAAAGGACAACAUUAGAUUUUUUUUUUUUUUACUAGUUUUUCAUUUUUC
Long non-coding RNA from Cyprinus carpio carpio, 1493 nucleotides. NCBI's taxonomy places the organism in Eukaryota, Metazoa, Chordata, Actinopteri, Cypriniformes, Cyprinidae. The record is from Ensembl.